Molecule: ribosomal RNA, 496 nt
Filed under: uncultured bacterium
Lineage: Bacteria
Description: partial 16S ribosomal RNA
Rfam family: Bacterial small subunit ribosomal RNA
Source: RNAcentral
AUGAACGCUGGCGGCGUGCCUAAUACAUGCAAGUCGAGCGGACAGACGAGGAGCUUGCUCCUCUGACGUUAGCGGCGGGCGGGUGAGUAACACGUGGAUAACCUACCUAUAAGACUGGGAUAACUUCGGGAAACCGGAGCUAAUACCGGAUAAUAUAUUGAACCGCAUGGUUCAAUAGUGAAAGACGGUUUUGCUGUCACUUAUAGAUGGAUCCGCGCCGCAUUAGCUAGUUGGUAAGGUAACGGCUUACCAAGGCGACGAUGCGUAGCCGACCUGAGAGGGUGAUCGGCCACACUGGAACUGAGACACGGUCCAGACUCCUACGGGAGGCAGCAGUAGGGAAUCUUCCGCAAUGGGCGAAAGCCUGACGGAGCAACGCCGCGUGAGUGAUGAAGGUCUUCGGAUCGUAAAACUCUGUUAUUAGGGAAGAACAAAUGUGUAAGUAACUAUGCACGUCUUGACGGUACCUAAUCAGAAAGCCACGGCUAACUACGUG